ACGGGUGAGUAACACGUGGGCAACCUGCCUGUAAGACUGGGAUAACUUCGGGAAACCGAAGCUAAUACCGGAUAGGAUCUUCUCCUUCAUGGGAGAUGAUUGAAAGAUGGUUUCGGCUAUCACUUACAGAUGGGCCCGCGGUGCAUUAGCUAGUUGGUGAGGUAACGGCUCACCAAGGCAACGAUGCAUAGCCGACCUGAGAGGGUGAUCGGCCACACUGGGACUGAGACACGGCCCAGACUCCUACGGGAGGCAGCAGUAGGGAAUCUUCCGCAAUGGACGAAAGUCUGACGGAGCAACGCCGCGUGAGUGAUGAAGGCUUUCGGGUCGUAAAACUCUGUUGUUAGGGAAGAACAAGUACGAGAGUAACUGCUCGUACCUUGACGGUACCUAACCAGAAAGCCACGGCUAACUACGUGCCAGCAGCCGCGGUAAUACGUAGGUGGCAAGCGUUAUCCGGAAUUAUUGGGCGUAAAGCGCGCGCAGGCGGUUUCUUAAGUCUGAUGUGAAAGCCCACGGCUCAACCGUGGAGGGUCAUUGGAAACUGGGGAACUUGAGUGCAGAAGAGAAAAGCGGAAUUCCA
This 583-nucleotide ribosomal RNA is filed under the name Bacillus sp. HRTK011. RNAcentral describes it as "bacterial SSU rRNA". It matches the Rfam family "Bacterial small subunit ribosomal RNA", at positions 102 to 671 of the family's 1533-position model. Lineage: Bacteria; Bacillati; Bacillota; Bacilli; Caryophanales; Bacillaceae. The record is from RNAcentral.